This 253-nucleotide ribosomal RNA is filed under the name uncultured bacterium. RNAcentral describes it as "partial 16S ribosomal RNA". It matches the Rfam family "Bacterial small subunit ribosomal RNA", at positions 524 to 776 of the family's 1533-position model. The record is from RNAcentral.
UACGUAGGGUGCAAGCGUUGUCCGGAAUUAUUGGGCGUAAAGAGCUCGUAGGCGGCCUGUCGCGUCGGCUGUGAAAACCCGGAGCUCAACUCCGGGCCUGCAGUCGAUACGGGCAGACUGGAGUUCGGCAGGGGAGACUGGAAUUCCUGGUGUAGUGGUGAAAUGCGCAGAUAUCAGGAGGAACACCGGUGGCGAAGGCGGGUCUCUGGGCCGAUACUGACGCUGAGGAGCGAAAGCGUGGGGAGCGAACAGG